This 253-nucleotide ribosomal RNA is filed under the name uncultured bacterium. Its description in RNAcentral is "partial 16S ribosomal RNA". It matches the Rfam family "Bacterial small subunit ribosomal RNA", at positions 524 to 776 of the family's 1533-position model. The record is from RNAcentral.
GACAGAGGGGGCAAGCGUUGCUCGGAAUUACUGGGCGUAAAGGGCGCGUAGGCGGGAUGGCAAGUCGGUCGUGAAAUCCCUCGGCUCAACUGAGGAUCGUCGAUCGAUACUGCCGUUCUUGAGGAUUGCAGAGGAGACUGGAAUUCCCGGUGUAGCGGUGAAAUGUGUAGAGAUCGGGAGGAACACCGGUGGCGAAGGCGGGUCUCUGGGCAGUAACUGACGCUGAGGAGCGAAAGCGUGGGGAGCGAACAGG